This 413-nucleotide ribosomal RNA is filed under the name uncultured bacterium. RNAcentral's name for it is "bacterial SSU rRNA". It matches the Rfam family "Bacterial small subunit ribosomal RNA", at positions 505 to 916 of the family's 1533-position model. The record is from RNAcentral.
GUGUCAGCUGCCGCGGUAAUACGUAGGUGGCAAGCGUUGUCCGGAUUUAUUGGGCGUAAAGCGAGCGCAGGCGGUUUUUUAAGUCUGAUGUGAAAGCCCCCGGCUCAACCGGGGAGGGUCAUUGGAAACUGGAAGACUUGAGUGCAGAAGAGGAGAGUGGAAUUCCAUGUGUAGCGGUGAAAUGCGUAGAUAUAUGGAGGAACACCAGUGGCGAAGGCGGCUCUCUGGUCUGUAACUGACGCUGAGGCUCGAAAGCGUGGGGAGCGAACAGGAUUAAAUACCCUGGUAGUCCACGCCGUAAACGAUGAGUGCUAAGUGUUGGAGGGUUUCCGCUCGUCAGUGCUGCAGCAAACGCAUUAAGCACUCCGCCUGGGGAGUACGACCGCAAGGUUGAAACUUAAAUGAAUUGACGG